CCCUUAGAUGUUCUGGGCCGCACACGCGCUACACUGAAGGAAGCAGCGUGUACUCCUGGAUCGAAAGAUUUGGGUAACCCGCGAAUCUCCUUCGUGCUAGGGAUUGAGGUUUGCAAUUAUCCUUCAUGAACGAGGAAUUCCCAGUAAGUGCAAGUCAUAAGCUUGCGCUGACUACGUCCCUGCCCUUUGUACACACCGCCCGUCGCUACUACCGAUUGAAUGAUUUAGUGAGGACUUCGGACUGGGACCGAUGCGGCUUUCGGGCUGCGUCGGUAUUCUGGAAAGAUGUCCAAACUGUAUCAUUUAGAGGAAGUAAAANUCGUANCA
RNAcentral lists this ribosomal RNA (327 nucleotides) under uncultured eukaryote. RNAcentral describes it as "partial 18S ribosomal RNA". It matches the Rfam family "Eukaryotic small subunit ribosomal RNA", at positions 1470 to 1796 of the family's 1831-position model. The record is from RNAcentral.